GUUUACUACAAUUGCAAAGUCAAAUAUGAUAUCCAAGAGAUACAGAUAUCAACAUCUGUGCUAUGAUCACUAUUCUAUCACUCUCAAGUUCGUCAACCUCAGAAACGCCCUAAAGCUCCAAGAAAAUCUGAGCAAACUUCGUCCAAAAAGCUGAAUGUCCUGUUUCUAAGUGACCAUAAGCAGCCAAUGAGACCCCAGAGGACAAAAGUAGCAUUCCGUGUUGGCCAUCAACAAACAGAGGCACAGCAUCACCUGGACUUCUCCCAGUGUAAAUGCUGGUCCAAAAAAAAAAGAGGAACCCCAAUUGCAAACAGGACAGAAACAAAGAAGCCAUGGAUGUUUUUGACCGUCAAAGAUACCCACACAGUAUAAAUGCUUCCACUGGGAGGACUCCUAUUCCUCUUACCCCGGAACGAGUGAUGAUGACUCCUCCAGUUCUGGAAGUUAAGUCAACAGUUGAAAACAGGAAUAAUUAUGUUGAUCAAGACUAUGGAGAAGACGCAUUCACUGGGCAGAAGGGAUUAUGACAUAGUCACCCUUGUGGAAGAAAUUAUUAAAUGACAGCUUUAUUUUUCCAAUUCUAAGAUAAAUGACACUAAAGACUUUAUGACAGGGAGUGAUGUCAUUGUCAUAUGUAUCUUAUUUUCAGUAAUGCCAUCUUCCUGGAAUAGUAAUUGAAUAGAGAAUGUUUCCUUUACAUCAAAAAUAUGUGAUUUUUUUUUGUG
This 725-nucleotide long non-coding RNA is filed under the name Phascolarctos cinereus (koala). RNAcentral describes it as "lncRNA (ENSPCIG00000024829.2)". Lineage: Eukaryota; Metazoa; Chordata; Mammalia; Diprotodontia; Phascolarctidae. The record is from RNAcentral.